Molecule: long non-coding RNA, 426 nt
Organism: Aedes aegypti (yellow fever mosquito)
Lineage: Eukaryota; Metazoa; Arthropoda; Insecta; Diptera; Culicidae
Exons: 2
Source: RefSeq, a predicted model, not a curated record
AUAAAAUUGUAAGAUUAGGGGUAUUCACUAAAAGCUGCGUGAAGUGAAAUUAUGCGUAAUUUGGGCAAAGAAACAUUUCACAUAAAAUAUUCCUCCUCCGAUUCUAUUGGACGUCAAAUGAGAGAUUUUUAAUCUAGUCACCCACUGAAAACGUCAGCUAUAUUCUCAAAAAUAACUUUGUUUUAUAAGUUUUUAUGUACGAUCUAGAAUCUCCGGUACAAUUCAGCCGUUCCUACAUUAUUAUUGAAGGACUUUCGUGGGAGCAUCUGGAGCUGGUUCCGAAUCGACAGCGAGUUUAAACCAGUUAACGAUAAGGCAAACUUACCCACAAGUUAUCUUCCUAAUUCCCCAGCAGUGUGAUUUGUGUUCUAAGUGUGUUGUUUGGUGUGUAGCUUAUAAUAAAAAUUAAAUUUAGUCCGAUACCGA